Molecule: RNA transcript, 2153 nt
Organism: Zingiber officinale
Lineage: Eukaryota; Viridiplantae; Streptophyta; Magnoliopsida; Zingiberales; Zingiberaceae
Gene name: ER lumen protein-retaining receptor erd-2.2-like
Exons: 7
Source: RefSeq, a predicted model, not a curated record
GCUUUUAUCUGUUUUGUUUCUUUUAAAAACAGGGACUUUUUUCGCCCUCUUUUCUUCUGGGAUUCGAGCGCGAGGAGAUCGGAUCGGAGCUAGGGAAGGCGUUGCAAUGAGGGGCACGAAGCGGCCGAUCCACGAGGUGGCGACGUGGGUGAAGCGGCAGCCGCCGAAGGUGAAAGCGUUCCUCUGUGUGGUGGCAGGCAUGGCCGCCCUCGUAUUCCUCCGCUUCAUCGUCCACGACCACGACAACCUGUUCGUCGCAGCUGAAGCCGUCCACGCCCUAGGGAUCUCCGUCCUGAUCUACAAGCUCACCAAAGGGAGGACUUGCGCCGGACUUUCACUGAAAUCUCAGGACUUAACAGCCUUAUUUUUAGCUGCUAGAUUAUAUUGCAGCUUAGUGAUGGAAUAUGAUAUACACACUGUGCUAGAUACUGCUACACUUGCUACUACUCUUUGGGUUAUUUACAUGAUUCGGAUUAGGUUGAGGACAAGUUACAUGGAGGAUAAGGAUAACUUUGCUAUAUCUUAUGUGAUUGUACCUUGUGCUUUGUUAGCCCUUGUAGUUCAUCCUUCGACUUCACACAAUAUUUUUAAUCGGAUUUGUUGGGCCUUUUGUGUUUACUUGGAAGCUGUUUCAGUGUUGCCCCAGUUACAACUGAUGCAGAACACAAAGAUUGUGGAACCAUUCACGGCUCAUUAUGUUUUCGCACUUGGGAUUGCAAGAUUCCUAAGCUGUGCUCAUUGGGUCCUUCAGGUUCUCGAUACCGGCGGAAGAUUGUUGACAGCUCUGGGGUAUGGCUUGUGGCCAUCAAUGGUGCUUCUUGCUGAAAUUGUUCAAACUUUCAUCCUUGCUGAUUUCUGUUAUUACUAUGUAAAAAGUCUUGUUGGUGGACAACUGGUGCUAAGGCUUCCUUCUGGUGUAGUCUGAUCACUUAACACAUAUAAGUUUGAGUUAUGACAUAGAAAUCCUUUUUCAUGUGUCUGUGUUGCUACUCCUAUAGGCCUUCAAGUUAAAAAGAAAGAAGAGAGAACCUCUUCUCUCUCUGUAUCUGGACUCGCCUCCUCCUCGCCAGUGACGUGGCGGCUCUGUACGCCAACAGCUGCUGCUGUCGCUGUUUCCACCACCGCACCGGAUCUUGCUGCUGCUGCUGCUGCUUCUCCACUGCGCACACGUUGAGAUCCGGAAGGCCGGUGACGGCGGCCACAGAUUGCUGCUCCCGGUGGCCGCCGCCGGUGGGCUGAACCCGCGCCUGCUGAAAACAUAAUUAUUUUCUAAUGAAGAAAUAUUGAGAAAAUAUAUAGAUGGAGUCGAUUUUGAAGCACACCUGGUGGGAUUGGUAGGAAAAUAUCGAUGAGGAGGUGUUGGAAAAGGAUUUGCGAUCCUCUCUCGCGAUUAACUGGAUCAUUUUCAUAGAAUAAUUAGUAUAUUUUACUUCUUUUUUUUCAAUUUUAAUAGAGAACACGAAAUGAUGGAGAAGGGGAAGAAGUAGGUAGAGGAGGUAGCUUACCUUCCAGCGCCGCUUGCCGUGCUCCGCCAUCGGCUCGGGGAGCAGAGCGCCCUCCUCGCCGCCGCUUGGGGGCGGCAAACUCACUUCUCGAUGCCGCUUCCUGUGCUCCACCUCCGGAUCCGGACGGACACUAACUUCAUCGCUGCCACUUUCCUGGAAGGAGAGCGGCGUGGUGGGACUACUCGAAGCGGCAGUGGCGGCUGCUGCUGCAUCUCCCUCCUUACUGUCUAGCGGCGGAGGCAGAGAAGGCGUCCGAAGAGGGCGGCGGCGACGAGAAGCGACCGAUCUGGGUUUCCCGCCUCUCCAUCUGAGGGAGCCGAUGUAAUCGCCAGGCGGCGGAAUCCGACGGCGCUCAAGGAUGAGAUCGGCGAGCUCGAGGAGCGUGAGCUCCACCUGAAGCUCCUCUGCCGAAGGAAACAUCAGAGACGGCAACGAAAUGGCGACGGCGGGCCGGCGGCGGAGAUUAGAAGAGGAGGAGGAGGAGGAGGAGGAGGAGAAAGGAUAAUAGGAAUGCGGAAGUGUGCUGUAUGCACCCAAUGGAGAAGAAAAUUACGAAGGCGAGGCCGGUCAUCAUUGAACCGACACGUGUAAAUAGGAAGAGAUACCUUUUCCAAAAAAAUAUUAAAGAGAAAAAUAAUAUUCUGGGAA